AACGAACGCUGGCGGCAGGCUUAACACAUGCAAGUCGAGCGCCCCGCAAGGGGAGCGGCAGACGGGCGAGUAACGCGUGGGAACGUACCUUUUGGUUCGGAACAACUCCGGGAAACUGGAGCUAAUACCGGAUAAGCCCUAACGGGGAAAGAUUUAUCGCCGAAAGAUCGGCCCGCGUCUGAUUAGCUAGUUGGUGAGGUAACGGCUCACCAAGGCGACGAUCAGUAGCUGGUCUGAGAGGAUGAUCAGCCACACUGGGACUGAGACACGGCCCAGACUCCUACGGGAGGCAGCAGUGGGGAAUAUUGGACAAUGGGCGCAAGCCUGAUCCAGCCAUGCCGCGUGAGUGAUGAAGGCCUUAGGGUUGUAAAACUCUUUUGUCCGGGAAGAUAAUGACUGUACCGGAAGAAUAAGCCCCGGCUAACUUCGUG
Molecule: ribosomal RNA, 431 nt
Filed under: uncultured bacterium
Lineage: Bacteria
Description: partial 16S ribosomal RNA
Rfam family: Bacterial small subunit ribosomal RNA
Source: RNAcentral